AUUGAACGCUGGCGGCAUGCCUUACACAUGCAAGUCGAACGGCAGCACGGGAGCAAUCCUGGUGGCGAGUGGCGAACGGGUGAGUAAUAUAUCGGAACGUGCCCGGUCGUGGGGAUAACGUAGCGAAAGCUACGCUAAUACCGCAUACGAUCUACGGAUGAAAGCGGGGGAUCGCAAGACCUCGCGCGAUUGGAGCGGCCGAUAUCAGAUUAGGUAGUUGGUGAGGUAAAGGCUCACCAAGCCGACGAUCUGUAGCUGGUCUGAGAGGACGACCAGCCACACUGGGACUGAGACACGGCCCAGACUCCUACGGGAGGCAGCAGUGGGGAAUUUUGGACAAUGGGCGCAAGCCUGAUCCAGCAAUGCCGCGUGAGUGAAGAAGGCCUCGGUUGUAAG
Molecule: ribosomal RNA, 396 nt
Filed under: uncultured bacterium
Lineage: Bacteria
Description: bacterial SSU rRNA
Rfam family: Bacterial small subunit ribosomal RNA
Source: RNAcentral